GGGCCCUUAGCUCAGUCUGGUUAGAGCGCUCGGCUCAUAACGUGAUCGUCCGACGUGGUGUGGCGAUCGUGUGAGACACCGAGUGGUCGAUGGUUCGAAUCCGUCAGGGCCCA
RNAcentral lists this transfer RNA (113 nucleotides) under Halobiforma nitratireducens JCM 10879. It matches the Rfam family "tRNA". Rfam says of the family: Transfer RNA (tRNA) molecules are approximately 80 nucleotides in length. Their secondary structure includes four short double-helical elements and three loops (D, anti-codon, and T loops). Lineage: Archaea; Methanobacteriati; Methanobacteriota; Halobacteria; Halobacteriales; Natrialbaceae. The record is from Rfam by way of RNAcentral.